CUUGGUCAUUUAGAGGAAGUAAAAGUCGUAACAAGGUUUCCGCAUCGAGUCCAUGGAACAGAUCCCAAUGAUCUUUCCGCGGUGACACUUAUCGAAGCCUUGAAUUGCGCCCUCGCAAGAGGGAGACGCCCUGACGACUAUAAACAAGAGGGACACGCAAGUCGGCCUGCGGGCCGGCGACACUUUCGAAUUGCGGGGAUAUCCUUAGAGCUCUGCCUACCAACCCGGGGGGGAAACCCCUCGGGGGCCGGUGUUAACAGCACCGGGUGCGGUAAGAAUGGUCAGAGAUUGGACAAUCCGCAGCCAAGCCCCUACGUCCCGCGGGAUAUGGGGAAGGUUCACAGACUAAGUGGAAGUGGGUGCGGCCGUUCGACCGCGCUUAAGAUAUAGUCGGGCCCCUGGCGAAAGCCAGGGGGUAAGUCACUGCACUUUGAACCGUUCCGUAGGUGAACCUGCGGAAGGAUCAUUACCGAGUUGAUUCGGGCUCCGGCCCGAUCCUCCCACCCUUUGUGUACCUACCUCUGUUGCUUUGGCGGGCCGCGGUUCUCCGCGGCCGCCCCCCUCCCCGGGGGGUGGCCAGCGCCCGCCAGAGGACCAUCAAACUCCAGUCAGUAAACGAUGCAGUCUGAAAAACAUUUAAUAAACUAAAACUUUCAACAACGGAUCUCUUGGUUCUGGCAUCGAUGAAGAACGCAGCGAAAUGCGAUAAGUAAUGUGAAUUGCAGAAUUCAGUGAAUCAUCGAAUCUUUGAACGCACAUUGCGCCCUUUGGUAUUCCGAAGGGCAUGCCUGUUCGAGCGUCAUUACAACCCUCAAGCUCUGCUUGGUAUUGGGCACCGUCCUUUGCGGGCGCGCCUCAAAGACCUCGGCGGUGGCGUCUUGCCUCAAGCGUAGUAGAACAUACAUCUCGCUUCGGAGCGCAGGGCGUCGCCCGCCGGACGAACCUUCUGAACUUUUCUCAAGGUUGACCUCGGAUCAGGUAGGGAUACCCGCUGAACUUAAGCAUAUCAAUAAGCGGAGGA
This 1021-nucleotide ribosomal RNA is filed under the name fungal endophyte sp. g59. RNAcentral's name for it is "eukaryotic LSU rRNA". The stretch from base 649 to 802 matches the Rfam family "5.8S ribosomal RNA". Lineage: Eukaryota; Fungi. The record is from RNAcentral.